ACUCUGUUUGCAUUAAUGAUUGAGUACCGACGAAAUUUGUUUGCAUUAAUGACCGAGAACUGAUGAAAUCUGUUUGUAUUAAUGACUGAGUACCGAUGAACGACGUACGAACUCCCUCUAUCUUUAGGAGUAGAGAUCUCCUAUUUAUACGAGUCAUAUGUUGAUUGCCAGCAAAAUAUAGUCGAACAAAUAUUUCUCAUCGAGAACCAAAACUGGGUUCCUGCGUAUUGAUGUAUGCGAGGAUGGACAAGUACACGAUGUGCAUGCUUGCACUACUCGUAUGUUCUGCUACUAUUGCUCAAUGCGGUACCAUGGCCAAGACUCAUAGCGAGAAGAUCAAUCUACCUGCCGGGCUAUGCAAGCGUUUCAGUCCUUGCACCACUGCAGUUAUUUGCUUCUGCUGUCUUGUAGAUGAGCACUGCUACACAGCUUUGGAUGAAUGCAAGACAGCGUGUAAAAAAUCCUCUUCUUCAGAAGACAUUCAAGUGGCGACGACAUCCCUUCCUCCUUUGCCUUCUCCUUUUCCAUCAUAGACAUAAUGUUCUGUAUUGCGCAAUAAGAGUUGAUUAAUAUCAGCAUAAGCUGGUGAUAAUAUAUUUCGAUGAAUAUAAUUAUAA
Triticum aestivum (bread wheat) is the source of this 617-nucleotide long non-coding RNA. RefSeq lists it as uncharacterized. NCBI's taxonomy places the organism in Eukaryota, Viridiplantae, Streptophyta, Magnoliopsida, Poales, Poaceae. The transcript is spliced from 2 exons. The record is from RefSeq and is a predicted model, not a curated record.